AGUGGGUAAAAAUGGAUUUUAAUAACCCAUAGAUUUUCUUCAUGGAGAAGAGCAUUGAGACUUACAAGAUCUACAUCUUCAAAGUUCUCAAGCAAGUUCAUCUUGAUAUUGGAAUUUCCAGCAAAGCCAGGGGAUUAUGAAUAGUUUCAUCAACGACAUUUUCGAGAAACUUGCUCAGGAAUUCUCUGAGCUCGCUUGCUACAACAAGAAGCCGACUAUCACCUCUCGAGAGAUCCAAACAACGGUGCGCCUUGUUCUUCCUGGGAAUUUAAUGUUAACAAUCUAGACUGGCUGCUGUCAGCAAAGAAAAAGAGCAACUGAAGUCAAGAGGAAGUGCUGUAACUACUCAAAUUCAGAAGCUAGGAGCAUUUUAUCCUGCUGAGGCUGAACAUGAAGUUAAUAUCAUUUAUUAAUGUAAUCCUUUGAAGCACUUAUCUGCAGAAAUUUUAGCUUAUAAGAUAUCCUGCUUCUUGACAUGCAACUCACCUAGAAACGAUACAAGUUAGAUUGGAUGAUUAUAAAAGUUUAGAAUCACCAUUAUAAAGAGUUGUGAAUUAGGUGUUGAUGGUUGUUUGUUUUCAUGUUCAAUGAUUAAACAUGAAAACAAACAACCAUGUGACUUGAAACUUCCUUUAUUCUACAUCUAUUAGUUUUCCUCUUUUCUUAUUGAAGCA
Long non-coding RNA from Benincasa hispida (wax gourd), 674 nucleotides. RefSeq lists it as uncharacterized. The record is from RefSeq and is a predicted model, not a curated record. Lineage: Eukaryota; Viridiplantae; Streptophyta; Magnoliopsida; Cucurbitales; Cucurbitaceae.